GGAUGCGAUCAUACCAACACUAUUGCAUCGAAUCCCAUCAGAACUCGGCAGUUAAGCGUGCUUUGGCGAGAGUUGUACUAGGAUAGGUGAUGUAGUGACCCGCAUAAGGGCAUCGG
This is a non-coding RNA of Arabidopsis suecica, 116 nucleotides long. The record is from the annotation of a GenBank genome assembly. NCBI's taxonomy places the organism in Eukaryota, Viridiplantae, Streptophyta, Magnoliopsida, Brassicales, Brassicaceae.